This 1105-nucleotide ribosomal RNA is filed under the name uncultured bacterium. RNAcentral's name for it is "bacterial SSU rRNA". It matches the Rfam family "Bacterial small subunit ribosomal RNA", at positions 10 to 1206 of the family's 1533-position model. The record is from RNAcentral.
AGUUUGAUUAUGGCUCAGGAUGAACGCUGGCGGCGUGCCUAACACAUGCAAGUCGAGCGAGGGUUUGCUCAGUAUUGAGUAUUCUAAGACUAGAAUGUUCAAUACUGAGCAAAAUCAAGCGGCGGACGGGUGAGUAACGCGUGGGUAACCUGCCCUAUACACAUGGAUAACAUACUGAAAAGUUUACUAAUACAUGAUAAUAUGUAUUUGCGGCAUCGCAGAUAUAUCAAAGUGUUAGCGGUAUAGGAUGGACCCGCGUCUGAUUAGCUAGUUGGUGAGAUAACUGCCCACCAAGGCGACGAUCAGUAGCCGACCUGAGAGGGUGAUCGGCCACAUUGGAACUGAGACACGGUCCAAACUCCUACGGGAGGCAGCAGUGGGGAAUAUUGCACAAUGGGCGAAAGCCUGAUGCAGCAACGCCGCGUGAACGAUGAAGGUCUUCGGAUCGUAAAGUUCUGUUGCAGGGGAAGAUAAUGACGGUACCCUGUGAGGAAGCCCCGGCUAACUACGUGCCAGCAGCCGCGGUAAUACGUAGGGGGCUAGCGUUAUCCGGAUUUACUGGGCGUAAAGGGUGCGUAGGUGGUCCUUCAAGUCGGUGGUUAAAGGCUACGGCUCAACCGUAGUAAGCCGCCGAAACUGGAGGACUUGAGUGCAGGAGAGGAAAGUGGAAUUCCCAGUGUAGCGGUGAAAUGCGUAGAUAUUGGGAGGAACACCAGUAGCGAAGCGGCUUUCUGGACUGCAACUGACACUGAGCACGAAGCGUGGGUAGCAAACAGGAUUAGAUACCUGGUAGUCACGCUGUAAACGAUGAGUACUAAGUGUCGGGGUUACCCCCUCGUGCGCAGCUAACGCAUUAAGCACUCGCUGGGGAGUACGACGCAGUGAACUCAAGAUGACGGGCCCGCCAAGCGGUGGAGCAUGUGUUAUUCGAGCACCGAAAACUACAGUCUGACAUCCUCUGACCGCUCUAGAUAGAGUUCUCGUCAGUGCAGGUGGGCAUGGGCCUCAGUUGGUCUGGAGUUGGUAGUCGACAGGCACCAUGUAUGGCAUCUCAUGACUACGAGUGCGUAUACUGAAGUGGAUACCUAAUAUCUAUGCUUGUACG